CCCUGGAUCUCGGCUGCCCAGAGGAUGGGGCUGGGCUGAGCAAUCACGUGGUCACCUUCGGCAUCCAAUUGCAUUCGUUUUACCCGGACUGGCUGGUGGCUUGGUUCUGCCUGGGAGGGACUGCUGCUCCACAGCCCUGGAUCCCUGGGUUCUUGAGUUGCAUCCUCACAUCCCUGUGGGUACUGAUGUCACACAUGAACAAUCUUUAAAUGCUGAGAUUCUCCUUAGAAAUCAUUUGGUGGAUUUUAUACUUGUUUGCCGCUUGGAUGCACUUCUCAUCAGGGUUCAACAAGUACUCCUAAGAACAAGGAUUGGAAACAAAGGGACACACUAGGCCUGCUCUUACAACUCACAGGGAGGUUGAAACCAAAGGAUUUUGCAUAAUAAAUACCAUUUAAUUUGUUGGCUACUGUUUAUGUUUAUGUUUACAAGGUGGCAGGUCACCUGGUAUAGAACAUUCCACUUCUUAUUAUCUGCAGUUAUCCAUGGCAUGUGUCUUUGUAGAAAUGUUGGCUUCAUUCAUUCCUGGGGCACCUAGAUGGUGACUGCCACGCAGAGCAUCGUCCUUGUUCCAACAAAUACUUGCCUUUGUGUCCUAUAAAAGUGUAGAACACAGAGGUUGAGCAUUUUGGCUCAGGUCCCCCUCUGCGUGGUAUAGUACCACCUCUUCUUACAAGCUGUGUGACCUUGAACAGAUUACUUAACCUUGCUGUGACUCACAUUUCUCACCUGUAAAGUGGUGAUCGUAGCAGCGCUUUCCUCUCAGGCUUGUUGAGAAGAUUAAAUGUGAUGCACUUGGAAUCAUGCCUGGUAGCGUUAGACCUCAGUAAACAUAGACUGGUAUCACUUCCUCAGAAGGCAAGAAGAAUGUCCCUUUGGAAGAUGAGUCAUCAGAGAAAUUGACAAGCUGACUCUAAAAUGCAUGUGGAAAUGCAAAAGACCUGGAAUAGCCAAACAACUUUAAAACAGAAAGAAGUUGGAGAAGACUGAUUCCAAGCCUUAUUAGAGGGCUACUGCUUCCUUGGAAGGAAACUAUUCAACUAUCGCUGCAUGACUUGUUUUGAAGAACUUUGUGGAUGCACUCAGAAACUGAAGGGACAUGGGACUAGGGAUGAACAGGUCUCAUCCUGACCCUAAGUUUUGGACCAGUAGUUUGCCUUGUGAUAUUAGCAUCUCCAGUGCAUUUAAGAAAAUGACUUAACUUGCUGAUUACAUACUUAGUGAUAUUCUGGCUUUUGUGUUGUAAGAUUGGGAACAACACUCUUUCCAGCUCUCUAGAUCACUGAGCAGAAACUGUAAAUCUAUGGAAUGAAUUUAAGUAAAAAGUAGAGAAGAUGAAAUAAUUCAGUAGUCUAAAAGGGACACUGAAAU
Molecule: long non-coding RNA, 1371 nt
Organism: Miniopterus natalensis
Lineage: Eukaryota; Metazoa; Chordata; Mammalia; Chiroptera; Miniopteridae
Source: RefSeq, a predicted model, not a curated record